UACGUAGGGAGCAAGCGUUGUCCGGAAUCAUUGGGCGUAAAGCGCGCGUAGGUGGCCUCAUAAGUCCGCUGUGAAAGUCAAAGGCUCAACCUUUGAAAGCCGGUGGAUACUGUGGGGCUAGAGUACGGAAGAGGCGAGUGGAAUUCCUGGUGUAGCGGUGGAAUGCGCAGAUAUCAGGAGGAACACCAAUAGCGAAGGCAGCUCGCUGGGACGUUACUGACACUCAACUGCGAAAGCGUGGGGAGCAAACAGG
RNAcentral lists this ribosomal RNA (253 nucleotides) under uncultured bacterium. RNAcentral describes it as "partial 16S ribosomal RNA". It matches the Rfam family "Bacterial small subunit ribosomal RNA", at positions 524 to 776 of the family's 1533-position model. The record is from RNAcentral.